GGAUUUGAGGGUGGUCUGUUUGGGGCGUGUGUCUCCCCAUUGGUUGCUAGGGUUGAUUUGGCUGACAGGAUCCACUGGAAGAGUUCCUCAUUCUGCCCCAACACUCUAUGGACAUUUUUCCUGAAACUGCAAGCUUGACAGAGGAAGACGGCCUUCCCUACAGAGGAGGACUGAUCUUCCAUCCAUGGUAAAUCAGCACUAGUGUACCCUGUUAAAGCCUCAAAACAACCUCUCAAGUGAGAUAGCUACCCUAUGAAUAGAAAGCUAAUGUCAUUUUUUUUGAUGAUUUACAAAGAAAUAACCAAUUGAA
This is an unclassified non-coding RNA of Fukomys damarensis (Damara mole-rat), 310 nucleotides long. Its record names the gene 7SK. It matches the Rfam family "7SK RNA". Rfam says of the family: 7SK was discovered as an abundant small nuclear RNA in the mid-70s but a possible function has only recently been suggested. Two independent studies have found that 7SK RNA binds the CDK9/cyclin T complex (known as elongation factor P-TEFb). The record is from Ensembl. Lineage: Eukaryota; Metazoa; Chordata; Mammalia; Rodentia; Bathyergidae.